Molecule: long non-coding RNA, 754 nt
Organism: Haplochromis burtoni (Burton's mouthbrooder)
Lineage: Eukaryota; Metazoa; Chordata; Actinopteri; Cichliformes; Cichlidae
Exons: 3
Source: RefSeq, a predicted model, not a curated record
AAAAUAGUUGUGGAUGAUUACUAAAGUUGAUGUUAAAUAGCGAGUUUAUUGAAAUGUUUUGUCUAUUUCAGCAGCUUUUAAAUAUCAUACUUUCUCUGGUGUCUUCAGUAAAGCUAAAACAAGAGUACAUUUACGUCCUUGGUUCUUUCAGGAAAACUUUUUGUUGAGAUUUGCUGUUAUACUAAAAAAAAAAAAUGUAUGUGCAGAAAAUCUGAUAGGUAUUCUUCUAUUGGAGAUGAGGACUUGGAUGCAAAAGUGCUGGACAUUCAGCGUCAUCACCCAAAUGCCGGCUGCAGAAUGAUGAUGGGACAUCUACGAUCCAGAGGCAUACACAUUCAAAGAUUUCGACUGAUGGAUUCAAUGAGUCAAUCCAGAAGGGGUCAUGAUGCGACGGUUAUCUAGUCAGACUGCAAGGCAUCGUCAGUACAGUGUACCAGCACCAAAUCACCUUUGGCAUAUCGAUGGAAAUCAUAAACUAAUUCGAUGGAGAUUUGUUGUCCAUGGUGGGAUAGAUGGUUUUUCUAGGUUAAUUGUCUACCUUAAAGCUGCCACCAACAACAAAGCUACAACAGUUUUUGAUGGUUUCUUGUCAGCAAUCAGACAAUAUGGCAUACCGUCAAGAGUCCGGUAAGAGGUGUUUAACAAAUACAGUAUGCCAAAAAACUCUGUAUUGGACAGUAGUUAUAUUCAGAUUGUUACUCUCACUGACUCGGAUCAAAACUUCUCUACUCUUUUUUUCAGGUCAGACAAAGGG